Molecule: ribosomal RNA, 209 nt
Filed under: uncultured Bacillota bacterium
Lineage: Bacteria; Bacillati; Bacillota
Description: uncultured Firmicutes bacterium partial 16S ribosomal RNA
Rfam family: Bacterial small subunit ribosomal RNA
Source: RNAcentral
UACGUAGGUGGCUAUUCAAGUUAGUGGUGAAAUUCCGGGGCUCAACUCCGGCGCUACCACUAAGACUGUUUAGCUUGAGUGCAGGAGGGGGUAAGUGGAAUUCCUAGUGUAGCGGUGGAAUGCGUAGAUAUUAGGAGGAACACCAGUGGCGAAGGCGACUUACUGGACUGUAACUGACACUGAAGUACGAAAGCGUGGGGGAGCAAACA